This is a long non-coding RNA of Contarinia nasturtii (swede midge), 676 nucleotides long. RefSeq lists it as uncharacterized. The transcript has 2 exons. The record is from RefSeq and is a predicted model, not a curated record. Lineage: Eukaryota; Metazoa; Arthropoda; Insecta; Diptera; Cecidomyiidae.
AUAUUUAAUAAAUACUAUUUAUACUUUAUAUUAUAGCGUAGAUAUGCGCUUUUCUGAAGUAAUUUAUCGCAUAGUCUUUUCCAUUUCAUUUCCAAUGAUUUUAUCGAUUUGAUUCCGUUUUGAACGAUUCGAAUUUUCUUUUGUUUACUACUUACCAUUUCUUUUCAUCAAACAAAUGAGCGAAUUAACUCAACAUAUCAGUGGUUUUUUUCGCGCUUAUGUUCAAUUGAAUAAAACUUUCAAACAUCUAGUACAAGUAUGAUUUGUUUUCAACAUCUGCCAUUUCGAAACCAUUGAAUAUUUUUUGGUGGUUCCAAACUUUUGCCGGGCACUGUAUAUCACACUCAUUAUAUCGCUGAGCUUCAUUUGAAAAUUCCUCAUCGAAUUGAUUUGACCAACUGAAAUGAACUGUCGGAAUAUUAUGUAUGGCAGUAGUGGCAAUGGAUUCAAAUUCCGAAACGUCGUUUUUUGUUUUGAAAUCUCAUUCUGCGGGAUCAUAAUCAUUAUCAGGUCACUUGACGCAAUAAUUUCGUGAUCAAUCUUGGGAAUCAACAUUCUCCUAAUCAAUAAUAAAUAAAUGUUCGCAUCCAGGUCCUUAAUAGUUAUUUGUGAAAUCAAUUUGUCGGUUUGUUUUAAAUGUAUUUUUACUGCGGAACACUUCACAUUGACGUGCAAA